Molecule: ribosomal RNA, 517 nt
Filed under: uncultured bacterium
Lineage: Bacteria
Description: bacterial SSU rRNA
Rfam family: Bacterial small subunit ribosomal RNA
Source: RNAcentral
UGGGGAAUCUUGGACAAUGGGGGCAACCCUGAUCCAGCCAUGCCGCGUGAGUGAUGAAGGCCUUAGGGUCGUAAAGCUCUUUCACCGGUGAAGAUAAUGACGGUAGCCGGAGAAGAAGCCCCGGCUAACUCCGUGCCAGCAGCCGCGGUAAUACGGAGGGAGCUAGCGUUGUUCGGAAUUACUGGGCGUAAAGCGCGCGUAGGCGGCUUAGCAAGUUGGGGGGUGAAAUCCCGGGGCUCAACCCCGGAACUGCCUCCAAAACUAUUGGUCUAGAGUUCGAGAGAGGUGAGUGGAAUUCCAAGUGUAGAGGUGAAAUUCGUAGAUAUUUGGAGGAACACCAGUGGCGAAGGCGGCUCACUGGCUCGAUACUGACGCUGAGGUGCGAAAGUGUGGGGAGCAAACAGGAUUAGAUACCCUGGUAGUCCACACCGUAAACGAUGAAUGCCAGUCGUCGGGUAGCAUGCUAUUCGGUGACACACCUAACGGAUUAAGCAUUCCGCCUGGGGAGUACGGUCGC